Molecule: long non-coding RNA, 162 nt
Organism: Lemur catta (Ring-tailed lemur)
Lineage: Eukaryota; Metazoa; Chordata; Mammalia; Primates; Lemuridae
Exons: 2
Source: RefSeq, a predicted model, not a curated record
CAGAGCGUAUGGUUAAAAGCAUGGACUCUGGAGUUCAGACUGCCUUAGUCUCAAUCUCAGGAUUACACUUGUUGAUCUUGGGCAGGAAAUAGCCUAUUUCAAGGCGACACCCUCCACCAUAUGACGGAGAUAAGAUUCAUGGAUACUCCUCUUGUUACCAUU